This 465-nucleotide ribosomal RNA is filed under the name uncultured bacterium. RNAcentral's name for it is "partial 16S ribosomal RNA". It matches the Rfam family "Bacterial small subunit ribosomal RNA", at positions 338 to 795 of the family's 1533-position model. The record is from RNAcentral.
CCUACGGGAGGCAGCAGUGGGGAAUAUUGCGCAAUGGGCGAAAGCCUGACGCAGCGACGCCGCGUGAGGGAUGAAGGUCUUCGGAUCGUAAACCUCUGUCAGCAGGGAAGAACGGUCACUGUGCUAAUCAGCAGUGAAUUGACGGUACCUGCAAAGGAAGCACCGGCUAACUCCGUGCCAGCAGCCGCGGUAAUACGUAGGGGGCAAGCGUUAUCCGGAUUUACUGGGUGUAAAGGGAGCGUAGACGGAAAGGCAAGUCAGAAGUGAAAACCCAAGGCUCAACCAUGGGACUGCUUUUGAAACUGUCAAACUAGAGUACGGGAGAGGUAAGAGGAAUUCCUAGUGUAGCGGUGAAAUGCGUAGAUAUUAGGAGGAACACCAGUGGCGAAGGCGUCUUACUGGACCGAAACUGACGUUGAGGCUCGAAAGCGUGGGGAGCAAACAGGAUUAGAUACCCCUGUAGUC